Molecule: long non-coding RNA, 877 nt
Organism: Myotis davidii
Lineage: Eukaryota; Metazoa; Chordata; Mammalia; Chiroptera; Vespertilionidae
Exons: 6
Source: RefSeq, a predicted model, not a curated record
AACACUAUACUUACUUUUUUUGAAGAUUAUAAAUUUAUACCAUAUAAGGUGUACAUUAUAGUCUCCUUAGUCUAAAUCCCCCAUAAACUUUGGGCUCUCUCUUUGGACUACAGUGCUAUUUAUUAUAGCUUCCAUGAACUAAUUUUUGUAAUGUGUGUUGUUUUUAAAAUAAAAAAAUCCCACGUUACCUGCUUUUGCACAAUUUUUAUGACAGGCUUAUGUAUAUAUUCUUAAUCUUUGCACAACUUUUAUUUAUAACAGGUUUAUAUAUAUAUGUAUGUUUAAUCCUCACUUUUUACUGAUUUUUAGAGAAAGAGGAAGGGAGAGACAGAAACAUCCAUUGGUUUCCUUCCAUAUGCACCCCGACCUGGAUUGAACUGGCAACGUAGAUUAUUUAAAACAGCUAGGAUUUAGAAGCAGUCCAAGUGCCCACCAGUGGAUGAGUGGAUACAAAGCAGUGGUACAGUUACACUAUGGAAUACUACUCAGCCGUAGAAAAGAAGGGACUCUUACCCUUUGUGACAGCACGGACAUUUGAGCAUAUUUAACUCAAGAAGACUGGGACUAUAACUGUUGACCAACGUGGAAAGGAUUUAGCUAAAAAGCAGUUCCAUUAAAAAUUGUCCCAAUUGCUCAGUCACUUCCAUUUGGCAAGCCAGCGAUAAGCACCCUUAUUUUUCCGAUUGGUUCAGUGGGGGUAAAGCAUCACACAAAAGGGGCCAAGGUCCAGCGUUUGAUUCCCCCUUGGAGUUAACCAGGUACAGGCCACCGAAGUCUAUUCAGCGUGACAGAGGGGGUGCACCACACAGGCCACCCCGAGAGAACCAGGAUUCUUUUGAAGAACUUAAAGCUUUCAGUGGGUAAAGAGGAAGGGAGA